This 76-nucleotide transfer RNA is filed under the name Sporomusa sp. KB1. Its description in RNAcentral is "tRNA-Gln". It matches the Rfam family "tRNA". From Rfam's summary of the family: Transfer RNA (tRNA) molecules are approximately 80 nucleotides in length. Their secondary structure includes four short double-helical elements and three loops (D, anti-codon, and T loops). Lineage: Bacteria; Bacillati; Bacillota; Negativicutes; Selenomonadales; Sporomusaceae. The record is from RNAcentral. RNAcentral also lists the same sequence under 5 other names.
AGGGGCGUAGCCAAGUCGGUAAGGCAACGGACUUUGACUCCGUUAUGCGUUGGUUCGAGUCCAGCCGCCCCUGCCA